CGCUCAUCCAGAGGGGCAGAGGGACACGGCCCGAUGAAGCCCCGGCAACCCUCCAGCCGGUCUCGUAGAUCGCCCGCCGCGAUCGUUUCCGCGAGGCUCCCGGCUAGGGAAGGUGCCAAAUCCGUCUCACGGCGAGAUGCGUCGUGAGGAAGAUGAGGA
Molecule: non-coding RNA, 159 nt
Filed under: Streptomyces sp.
Lineage: Bacteria; Bacillati; Actinomycetota; Actinomycetes; Kitasatosporales; Streptomycetaceae
Also listed under: 1 other name
Description: SAM-I sequence
Rfam family: SAM riboswitch aptamer (S box leader)
About the family: The SAM riboswitch is found upstream of a number of genes which code for proteins involved in methionine or cysteine biosynthesis in Gram-positive bacteria.
Source: RNAcentral